GUUUUAUUGAACAAUAUAACAAGUAUCUGGUUCCAGGAUUGGAACGUGAGAAUAUUCAAGUGAACGGGCAACGGACGCUCGGAGAGAACAUGGCGGAUGCUGCUGGAAUUGUUGCUGCAUAUUACGCGUACAAGAACAGAAAAGCAAGAUUGAAUGAAACAGAGUGGCGGCUGCAAGGACUGGAAGAUUAUAGCGAAGAUCAGAUCUUCUUCUUGGCGUAUGCUCAAUUAUUCUGCGAAAGUGCUUUGCCAGAAACAAUACAAAGUAUUGAUUAUACUUCUGACGUCCAUCCUGCGAGCGAAAUUAAGAUUCGCG
Pseudomyrmex gracilis is the source of this 315-nucleotide long non-coding RNA. RefSeq lists it as uncharacterized. NCBI's taxonomy places the organism in Eukaryota, Metazoa, Arthropoda, Insecta, Hymenoptera, Formicidae. The record is from RefSeq and is a predicted model, not a curated record. The transcript has 3 exons.